RNAcentral lists this ribosomal RNA (497 nucleotides) under uncultured bacterium. Its description in RNAcentral is "partial 16S ribosomal RNA". It matches the Rfam family "Bacterial small subunit ribosomal RNA", at positions 28 to 507 of the family's 1533-position model. The record is from RNAcentral.
GAUGAACGCUGGCGGCGUGCCUAAUACAUGCAAGUCGAGCGAACAGAUAAGGAGCUUGCUCCUUUGACGUUAGCGGCGGACGGGUGAGUAACACGUGGGUAACCUACCUAUAAGACUGGAAUAACUCCGGGAAACCGGGGCUAAUGCCGGAUAACAUUUAGAACCGCAUGGUUCUAAAGUGAAAGAUGGUUUUACUAUCACUUAUAGAUGGACCCGCGCCGUAUUAGCUAGUUGGUAAGGUAACGGCUUACCAAGGCAACGAUACGUAGCCGACCUGAGAGGGUGAUCGGCCACACUGGAACUGAGACACGGUCCAGGCUCCUACGGGAGGCAGCAGUAGGGAAUCUUCCGCAAAGGGCGAAAGCCUGACGGAGCAACGCCGCGUGAGUGAUGAAGGUCUUCGGAUCGUAAAACUCUGUUAUUAGGGAAGAACAAAUGUGUAAGUAACUGUGCACGUCUUGACGGUACCUAAUCAGAAAGCCACGGCUAACUACGUG